UGUCAAAGAAACAGUGAUAUGAAUUGACUUUUGGUUAGACCAUAUUGAUGUUAUUACACCAUAUUUUUAGGUAUACAAAAUAUUUCGAAUAAACUUUUACACAAUGUACUAUAACAUUAUAUAUUCGUAAUAAUAUCUACAAUGGAGAUAGAACUUGAAGACUGAGAAACAGUAAUCAAACACUGACAAGUUUAGUUUGCAUGCACAAACAAGUGGCAAAGGUGUAAACAAAAAGAUCAGGACACCCUCCUCAGCCCCAUUUCCUCAACGGGGCUGCAAUAAAGGAAAACAAAGAUCUAGUUGAAUUGUUACCCACGUGCGUGGCUAAAGUCUCAGCAGUUUUAAAAUCUAUCUUGCAAGCGCUGCAUAGCCCUUGCCCCUUUCUGCAUAUUCUUAUAUAUGCAGGAAAUAUACAUAUUUCAUUCUUAUCUAAAUGAAAUAUGCAGGAAGAAGCCCUCAGCGCUUGCAAGAAAGAUUUUGAACCACGCACAUAUGGGAACACAACAAGAAGUACACACCCAAACGCAAGAAGUGUUUCACAGUAUAAGGUAACAAUGCAACUAGAUCUUUCUCUUUUUAUGAGAAUAGUAUGUAAUAGAAUUGUUUUCCUUUAUUGCAGGGCCAUUGAGAAAAUGGGACUGUGUGUUUGUGCAUGCAAACUAAACUUGUCUGUGUUUGUGCAUGCAAAUAAACUUUGAUGACCGUUUUCAAUCUCUAGCUUUGUUCAAGUUCUACCUCUAUUGCAGAGAUAGCAUGCACUUGUUGAUUGAGAUGCUUCAAGUGGCCAUAAAUGCGUUGUACUUCAGAUGUUUUCAGGCAGAUAGGGUCCUAUUUAGUUGCCACCUCCAUUGCAGAGUUGGAAAAUUGAAAUGUAGGAUCAAUAGCUGGGAUCAAAUGAGUUGACUACCAACAAAAGGGAAGUUUUUGCAAAAUGGUACAGAAAGCCAAAUAAAGAAAGUUAGUAAAACUAGAUAGAGUACGAAAACAUUGUUCCUAGGGCUGCAUCUAUGGACGAAGCUACAUGGAGCUUUACAAUUCAACUCGGAAUUUAUUUAGGAUAAUAGUAUUAGGUAAAAAAAAUUGUGAGGUUUCUAUGAGCUGACACCAUUGUUAAAAAAAAUAAACACAAUAGUGUCAUUUAUUUGAACAAGUACAACUUAGUUUAGAACUACUUUUCUUUUUGAGCUUGGCUUUUUAGGUGUUAUAACCAUUGUGUACUUGUUCAAAAAGAAAAGUAGUUCUAAACUAAGUUGUACUUAUUCAAACAAAUAACAACAUUAUGUUUACUUUUUUUAACAAUCUUUAUGGUGUCAACUCAUAGAAACCUCACAAUUUUUUGAUCUAAACCU
RNAcentral lists this long non-coding RNA (1349 nucleotides) under Actinidia chinensis (golden kiwifruit). RNAcentral's name for it is "long non-coding RNA (ACHI_LNC000560)". The record is from RNAcentral. Lineage: Eukaryota; Viridiplantae; Streptophyta; Magnoliopsida; Ericales; Actinidiaceae.